GACGAACGCUGGCGGCGUGCUUAACACAUGCAAGUCGAACGGAAAGGCCCUGCUUUUGUGGGGUGCUCGAGUGGCGAACGGGUGAGUAACACGUGAGUAACCUGCCCUUGACUUUGGGAUAACUUCAGGAAACUGGGGCUAAUACCGGAUAGGAGCUCCUGCUGCAUGGUGGGGGUUGGAAAGUUUCGGCGGUUGGGGAUGGACUCGCGGCUUAUCAGCUUGUUGGUGGGGUAGUGGCUUACCAAGGCUUUGACGGGUAGCCGGCCUGAGAGGGUGACCGGCCACAUUGGGACUGAGAUACGACCCAGACUCCUACGGGAGGCAGCAGUGGGGAAUAUUGCACAAUGGGCGGAAGCCUGAUGCAGCAACGCCGCGUGCGGGAUGACGGCCUUCGGGUCGUAAACCGCUUUCGCCUGUGACGAAGCGUGAGUGACGGUAAUGGGUAAAGAAGCACCGGCUAACUACGUG
This 468-nucleotide ribosomal RNA is filed under the name uncultured bacterium. RNAcentral's name for it is "partial 16S ribosomal RNA". It matches the Rfam family "Bacterial small subunit ribosomal RNA", at positions 28 to 507 of the family's 1533-position model. The record is from RNAcentral.